UUGGUAAAGGACAUUGCCACUUUAUUAAAGGUGAAAAGAAAGCUCCACCUGGUAAUGGAAAAGGGCUCCUACCAUAACCAUUAGAUUAGACUCUCUCCUCUACCUUUAAGCUGAUAGGAUAGGGAACCAAUGAGAAGGGCAAUGGAGAAGAAGUUGCAGAGGUUGUUUGUGUUGCUGAAUGUGCUUGUGUUCAAUGCCUCUCUUGUGUUCACAACAAAGACCAAUUUCUCAGCUGUAGGAGACCCAGGAAUGCAGAGAGAUGGUCUGAGAGUGGCGUUUGAGGCUUGGAACUUCUGCAAUGAAGUUGGGGAAGAAGCUCCUCACAUGGGUAGUCCAAGAGCUGCCGAUUGUUUUGAUCUUUCAGGUUCUUCUUUGAUUCACAAGGUCACAGAAGCUGAUAACAAACUUGGGGUGGGGGAUUCACUUCCUGGCCUAACACCUGAAGAUAUCAACAAUGCAGACCUUUAUGCUGCUCAUAAGGAACUGUAUUUGGGUUCUCUAUGUGAAGUUCCAGACACCCCAAGGCCAUGGCAAUUUUGGAUGGUAAUGCUGAAAAAUGGCAACUAUGACACCAGGUCUGGGUUAUGCCCUAAGGAUGGGAAAAAAGUACCCCCUUUUGCUCCGGGGCGGUUCCCAUGUUUCGGAGAAGGGUGUAUGAACCAACCCAUCUUUUGUCAUCAACAAACACAGCUGAAAGAUGGCACAAUGAGAGGGGGAUUCAGUGGUAGUUAUGAUUUGGGUUCUGAUUGUGGGAGUGAACAUGAUGGCCUCUCUUACUAUGAGGUGGUUUGGGAGAAGAAAGUUAAUGCUGGGAGUUGGGUUUUCAAACAUAAGUUGAGAACUUCAAAGAAAUACCCUUGGCUAAUGUUGUACCUUAGAGCUGAUGCAACCAAAGGAUUCUCUGGAGGUUACCAUUAUGAUACAAGAGGAAUGCUAAAAACUCUUCCACAGUCUCCAAAUUUCAAGGUGAGGUUGAGCUUAGAUAUCAAGAAGGGGGGAGGAUCCAAGAGCCAGUUCUACCUUUUAGACAUUGGAAGUUGCUGGAAGAACAAUGGUGCUGCAUGUGAUGGAGAUGUACUCACUGAUGUUACAAGAUACAGUGAGAUGAUCAUCAACCCUGAAACCCCAGCUUGGUGCAGCCCCACUGGUUUAGGGAACUGCCCACCAUUUCAUAUCACACCAGACAACAGAAAAAUCUACAGAAAUGAUACAGCCAAUUUCCCCUACUCUGCAUAUCACUUUUAUUGUGCCCCAGGCAAUGCGCAACACUUGGAGAAACCUGUGAGCACUUGUGAUCCUUACAGCAAUCCUCAGGCACAAGAGAUAGUUCAGUUACUUCCUCACCCUAUUUGGGCUGAGUAUGGCUAUCCCACCAAAAAAGAUGAUGGCUGGGUUGGGGAUGGAAGGACAUGGGAACUUGAUGUUGGUGGAUUAUCAAGUAGGCUCUACUUUUAUCAGGACCCGGGCACACCUCCUGCCAAAAGAGUGUGGACAUCAAUUGAUUCUGGUACAGAGAUAUUUGUUAGUGACAAAGAUGAAGUAGCAGAGUGGAGUUUGAGUGACUUUGACGUUAUUGUAACACAACCAAAAACCAGCUUGACGACUCAGGUUUAUUAGGUUGAGAGAAAGAGAUAGAUUUUACCCUACACUGAACUUUUGAGAUCAGAGGGUCCACAAAGGCUACGGUUCUGGAUCUAGGCAAGGAGUGCUUGAGCUUAGAGACAUGUACCAAUAAUGAAAUUCUCAUUGUCACGGUCAUAGGAUGCCAAGCAGCCAAGGAAUAAAGUAUGAAUGAUAAAGUGUUGAGCAAUGAGUCCAAUAAAUUAUACUCAUUCUUAUAUUUAUCUACAACUAUGAUUAAUUCACAAUCUCCAUUCAUUUUGUAAGAUAAUUGAAUGGGUGACUUUCUCAUUCAUUUGGAAUCAAUAUAAAUACAACAAGUAUUGCUAAAGUCAAACUAUCUACCAUAAUUAUAGGUAAUCAAUUAACAUAAUUACAGGAGACUAUUAACAUAAUGUCAUAUCUACUAACUUAAAAAGCAAUAUGCAAUUUCACUGUUCAUGAGAGCCAAUUUUUUUUUUGUUCCUUGUGUGGUUGCUUUUGGGCCUGUUUCUUUCGUGGGCUGCAUUGAGAGGAUUUCAUCAGCCUCUCCACGUAGGGUUAGGAGUAUCAGGCUACUCGAAACCUCCUUGCCUCUCCACGUGAUCUCCUUUCCCCCUUGAACCUACUGCUCCAGCGCUCUCUGUCACUGGAAUAUAUGUAGCAUUCAGGAUAGGAAUGUAUCGAAUAGUUGGAAUUGUAUAUACUAUAUACUGUUGAUAGAUGAACAUGAUUAAUAAUGAGGUCGUUUAUUUUGGAAGUAUGCUGCUGAGGGUGCAUCACUUGCCAUCAUUUUUUGAGCCUAUAUAUAUUUUAAUAUGAAGCAGGGCUUUGUCUUGCAUUUUAGAGGUUCAGCCAGUGCCAGCAAUGCCUGAUGAAAAGGCUAGAUAGCAACACCAACUCAGUAUUCAAUCUAUGAUAUCAUCCCACUUACAAUUCACCUCAACAUUACAAAUCAUUUGAGACACCCCUACAUGAUCAAGACACAAGUGACAUCAUGGAGCAAGCCAGCAACAGAGAGUACAGUGUGGAAGCAGAGCAUGCUUGCUCAGAGGCUGUAGCCUGUAGAUAUCAAAUAAUCAAAUUGAAACCUGCUUUCAAGUUUCAACCAGUUUUGUUGAUCUAUUGAGGGUUAAUUAUUUGAUUUGUUCAGUGCUAGCUUGUGUUCAUUUUGGUGUUCUUGCACAGAGCAAUUUUUCUUUGCUUAUCUCCUCUUUCGUCUAGAUAAUUGAAAAAAUAACCUUAAAACCUCUGUGUCCACAGCUUCUGGAUUGUUCCAACUCUAGCAUUUCGUUGUAGAUAUUCUUAUUCCAAAUUUCAAUUGCAAGCUGGUACUGCUGGUUGCAGACCCAAGUGCUAAUGGGAGCUUGGAAUCAGUGGCUCUGGUGUCUACCAUGAGUUCUGAAAUGCUCAAAAAAAGAAGAGCAUUAUGUCAAUAUAGCAUAUCAAUGGGAGGAAGUUUUAUAUCACACACAGGGCGCUACAGGCAAGUAAUUGUUAACAAAUUGAAAGACUGUAGCGGUAAGGAAUCCAUUUUCCAAUUGGGAAAGUCAUUUUAGAAAGGUGGAAGUGUAUUUGAAGAGUGAAGAUAACUUUAUUGCUUAAGCACAUGUUUUCAAAUUCACUGUUCGUCUUUCUUCAUUUUUGGGCCGGCCCUCAUUUCCUUUUAGGCCUCCACUAGAGCUGUAGAGAGGUUCGCUGGUGUACCUAGCCAGAAUUUCCCCUCUCCAGGGCAUGGAGAAGCAGUAAAGUGAACUAUUAAACUCAUCAAGCCUUUCUUUUAAUGACUUCAGAUUGAUUCUCUAUCACUAAGCAUAGAGCAGAUUUUAAAGUUCUUUUCUACUUGUCCCUAUCAAUGUUUGUUGGAUGCAUGCAAAUGCAGAAAGAAAGGGAAGUAUAUGAAGUGAUGUGAAGACUUACGUGUUCAAAUUGAGUUAUUCACUUUGCUGUUAUGUGAAAAUUUAAGUUAUGUUGUAUAAAGAGUUAUUGUUAUAUCUAAUGUAAUAUUCGUAUGAACAAGGUCUCCGACACUUGCGUAGUUGUUUAAGUUUUAGUCGGGCAUCUUCAUCUCUCCGUGCCGGUUGUUCUAUUUUAUCUGUUAUCUUGGUAAAUAUCUAAAUACUAGCUGUUUGUUCCUCUCA
Lotus japonicus is the source of this 3740-nucleotide RNA transcript. RefSeq lists it as uncharacterized. Lineage: Eukaryota; Viridiplantae; Streptophyta; Magnoliopsida; Fabales; Fabaceae. The record is from RefSeq and is a predicted model, not a curated record. The transcript has 9 exons.